RNAcentral lists this ribosomal RNA (253 nucleotides) under uncultured bacterium. RNAcentral's name for it is "partial 16S ribosomal RNA". It matches the Rfam family "Bacterial small subunit ribosomal RNA", at positions 524 to 776 of the family's 1533-position model. The record is from RNAcentral.
UACGAAGGGGGCAAGCGUUGUUCGGAAUCAUUGGGCGUAAAGCGCGUGUAGGCUGUCUAUUAAGUCGAGUGUGAAAUCCCUAGGCUCAACCAAGGAAGUGCAUUCGAAACUAAUAGACUAGAAGAUGGUAGAGGAUGGUGGAAUUCCAGGUGUAGAGGUGAAAUUCGUAGAUAUCUGGAGGAAUACCGGUGGCGAAGGCGGCCAUCUGGGCCAUUCUUGACGCUGAGACGCGAAAGCGUGGGUAGCAAACAGG